UGGGGAAUUUUGGACAAUGGGCGAAAGCCUGAUCCAGCAAUGCCGCGUGUGUGAAGAAGGCCUUCGGGUUGUAAAGCACUUUUGUCCGGAAAGAAAUCCUUGGCUCUAAUACAGUCGGGGGAUGACGGUACCGGAAGAAUAAGCACCGGCUAACUACGUGCCAGCAGCCGCGGUAAUACGUAGGGUGCAAGCGUUAAUCGGAAUUACUGGGCGUAAAGCGUGCGCAGGCGGUUUGCUAAGACCGAUGUGAAAUCCCCGGGCUCAACCUGGGAACUGCAUUGGUGACUGGCAGGCUAGAGUAUGGCAGAGGGGGGUAGAAUUCCACGUGUAGCAGUGAAAUGCGUAGAGAUGUGGAGGAAUACCGAUGGCGAAGGCAGCCCCCUGGGCCAAUACUGACGCUCAUGCGCGAAAGCGUGGGGAGCAAACAGGAUUAGAUACCCUGGUAGUCCACGCCCUAAACGAUGUCAACUAGUUGUUGGGGAUUCAUUUCCUUAGUAACGUAGCUAACGCGUGAAGUUGACCGCCUGGGGAGUACGGCCGCAAGGUUGAAACUUAAAUGAAUUGACGGGGUCAUAGCUGUUUCCU
This 585-nucleotide ribosomal RNA is filed under the name uncultured bacterium. RNAcentral's name for it is "partial 16S ribosomal RNA". It matches the Rfam family "Bacterial small subunit ribosomal RNA", at positions 355 to 1375 of the family's 1533-position model. The record is from RNAcentral.